AGAGCGAACGCUGGCGGCAGGCCUAAUACAUGCAAGUCGAACGCACCUUCGGGUGAGUGGCGGACGGGUGAGUAACACGUGGGAACGUGCCUUUUGGUUCGGAAUAAUCCGGGGAAACCUGGCCUAAUACCGGAUGUGCCCUUCGGGGGAAAGAUUUAUCGCCAUUAGAGCGGCCCGCGUCUGAUUAGCUUGUUGGUGGGGUAAUGGCCCACCAAGGCUACGAUCAGUAGCUGGUCUGAGAGGAUGAUCAGCCACACUGGGACUGAGACACGGCCCAGACUCCUACGGGAGGCAGCAGUAGGGAAUCUUGCGCAAUGGGCGAAAGCCUGACGCAGCCAUGCCGCGUGAAUGAUGAAGGUCUUAGGAUUGUAAAAUUCUUCAGCGGGGAAGAUAAUGACUGUACCCGCAGAAGAAGCUCCGGCUAACUUCGUGCCAGCAGCCGC
This 443-nucleotide ribosomal RNA is filed under the name uncultured bacterium. RNAcentral's name for it is "SSU rRNA". It matches the Rfam family "Bacterial small subunit ribosomal RNA", at positions 26 to 518 of the family's 1533-position model. The record is from RNAcentral.